GAUGAAGAACGCAGCGAAAUGCGAUAAGUAAUGUGAAUUGCAGAAUUCAGUGAAUCAUCGAAUCUUUGAACGCACAUUGCGCCCCUUGGUAUUCCGAGGGGCAUGCCUGUUCGAGCGUCAUUAUAACCCCUCAAGCUCAGCUUGUUGUUGGGGCCUGCUGCACUGGCAGCCCUUAAAAUCAGUGGCGGCGCCAUCUGGCUCUAAGCGUAGUAAUUCUUCUCGCUAUGGAGUCCUGGUGGAUGCUUGCCAUCAACCCCCAAUUUUUCUAUGGUUGACCUCGGAUCAGGUAGGGAUACCCGCUGAACUUAAGCAUAUCAAUAAGCGGAGGA
Molecule: unclassified non-coding RNA, 329 nt
Filed under: soil metagenome
Description: partial contains 5.8S ribosomal RNA, internal transcribed spacer 2, and large subunit ribosomal RNA
Rfam family: 5.8S ribosomal RNA (bases 1-120)
Source: RNAcentral